RNAcentral lists this ribosomal RNA (400 nucleotides) under uncultured Glomeromycotina. RNAcentral's name for it is "eukaryotic LSU rRNA". The record is from RNAcentral. Lineage: Eukaryota; Fungi; Glomeromycota.
GAAAAGAACUUUGAAAAGAGAGUUAAAUAGUACGUGAAAUUGUUGAAAGGGAAACGAUUGAAGUCAGUCGUACCGGCGGGAAAUCAACCUUUUCGAGUGGGGAUCGUAAGUGGCGAGGAGCCUCGCGCCCUCGUUGCUUACGAUCCCCUGCUCUUGGGGCGUACUUUUCCGUAUGGUAGGUCAGCAUCGAUUUUGACCGUCAUAAAAUGAUCGGAGGAAUGUAGUUUCGACCUCGGUUGAAGUGUUAUAGCCUUUGGUAGAUGUGGUGUUUGGGAUCGAGGAUUGCAACGAAUACCCUUUUGGGCUAUCCGUCUGACCUCUGAUGGUUAGCUGGGUGCCGAAAGCUUGCUUACGGUUAUUUAAGUUGACAGUCAAAAGGCUAGAACGUGAUUAUAUUCGU